This 610-nucleotide ribosomal RNA is filed under the name Naganishia albida. RNAcentral's name for it is "eukaryotic LSU rRNA". It matches the Rfam family "Eukaryotic large subunit ribosomal RNA", at positions 47 to 662 of the family's 3401-position model. The record is from RNAcentral. Lineage: Eukaryota; Fungi; Basidiomycota; Tremellomycetes; Filobasidiales; Filobasidiaceae.
UAAGCGGAGGAAAAGAAACUAACAAGGAUUCCCCUAGUAACGGCGAGUGAAGCGGGAAGAGCUCAAAUUUGAAAUCUGGUAGCCUUCGGUUGCCCGAGUUGUAAUCUAGAGAAGUGUUUUCCGUGCCGGCCCAUGUACAAGUCCCUUGGAACAGGGCGUCAUAGAGGGUGAGAAUCCCGUCCUUGACAUGGACCCCCGGUGCUUUGUGAUACACUUUCAACGAGUCGAGUUGUUUGGGAAUGCAGCUCAAAAUGGGUGGUGAAUUCCAUCUAAAGCUAAAUAUUGGCGAGAGACCGAUAGCGAACAAGUACCGUGAGGGAAAGAUGAAAAGCACUUUGGAAAGAGAGUUAAACAGUACGUGAAAUUGUUGAAAGGGAAACGAUUGAAGUCAGUCAUGCUCUUGGGACUUACCUCCCUUGAGUGGGGUCAACAUCAGUUUUGAUCGAUGGAUAAAGGCACGGGGAAGGUAGCACUCUCGGGUGAACUUAUAGCCUCGCGUCAUAUACAUUGAUUGGGACUGAGGAACGCAGCAUGCCUUAUGGCCGGGAUUCGUCCACGUACAUGCUUAGGAUGUUGACAUAAUGGCUUUAAACGACCCGUCUUGAAACAC